RNAcentral lists this ribosomal RNA (492 nucleotides) under uncultured bacterium. RNAcentral describes it as "partial 16S ribosomal RNA". It matches the Rfam family "Bacterial small subunit ribosomal RNA", at positions 29 to 507 of the family's 1533-position model. The record is from RNAcentral.
AGUGAACGCUGGCGGCAGGCCUAACACAUGCAAGUCGAACGGCAAGACGAUGAGGUUUUGCUCUUGCCGGUCGCGAGGGGCGGGCGGGUGACACGUACAUCAGAUUCUUCUAUGUCGGGGGGGAUAUCGUGGAGACGGUUACAAUAAUAGCGCAUACGACCAACGGCAGAGAUCAGGAGAGCAUGGCGCCUUGCCAGACGAUAAUAGCCGAUGUCGGAUGAGCUAGUUGGGUUGGUAAAGGCACACCAAGGCGACGAUCCGUAGCCGGUCUGAGAGGAUGAUCAGCCACACUGGAACUGAGACACGGUCCAGACUCCUACGGGAGGCAGCAGUGGGGAAUAUUGCACAAUGGGCGCAAGCCUGAUGCAGCCAUGCCGCGUGGGUGAAGAAGGCCUUCGGGUUGUAAAGCCCUUUUGUUGGGAAAGAAAAGAAGCAGGUUAAUACCCCGCUGUUUUGACGGUACCCAAAGAAUAAGCACCGGCUAACUUCGUG